UACGUAGGUCCCGAGCGUUGUCCGGAUUUAUUGGGCGUAAAGCGAGCGCAGGUGGUUUAUUAAGUCUGGUGUAAAAGGCAGUGGCUCAACCAUUGUAUGCAUUGGAAACUGGUAGACUUGAGUGCAGGAGAGGAGAGUGGAAUUCCAUGUGUAGCGGUGAAAUGCGUAGAUAUAUGGAGGAACACCGGUGGCGAAGGCGACUUUCUGGACUGUAACUGACGUUGAGGCACGAGAGUGUGGGGAGCAAACAGG
Molecule: ribosomal RNA, 252 nt
Filed under: uncultured bacterium
Lineage: Bacteria
Description: partial 16S ribosomal RNA
Rfam family: Bacterial small subunit ribosomal RNA
Source: RNAcentral